UGUUACUUUCGUCUUCGCUUUCCCAUAUUUUUUCAAUGGUAUGUCCCAAAAUCAUUUUACAAUUGGAUUCAAGUUAAGUGAAUUCAUUUGACAUCAUAAUGAACAUCCUGCAAAACUCUCUAUGAAUCUAUUUUUCUAAGAGCAUCCCACACUUGAUGUGAGCAAAGUGAUGCCUGUUAAAUAUCAACAAUGGUUUAAAAACAUUAUGUAACCCAGAUUACUGAAGGGUUAUAUUUGUACAUUUAUAAAAUAAUAUAAAUGAUCAGGGGAUAAAACAACAUAUAACUGUGGAUUCAUUGUUCUAAAAUGUUCUUAAUAAGAAAUAAAUUGUUUAAAAAUAAUAAUGUGAAAUAUUCACAUGUUAUUGGUUUAACCAAUCAGUGAUGUGUGGGAGGGAUUUGCGCUUGCUGACGCAGUGGGAAGAGAUCGCCAGACUGUGGAGGAAGAGAGAGUGAGAUCGCUAGAUUUGAUGAUUUAAACUGUGAAAUUAGAUUAUAACUUUGAAACUAGUUUGAGAAACUUACAGAAAGCUUUCAUAGAGAAGUAUUUGAAGAGGAUUCAGUCGUUAAAUUGUUCCUGUGACGAUCGAUGGGAAAAUUGCAUCAUUGUGUUGUUGAGUGAAUAUAUGGACAUGGUCAGGUUUUUUUUCUUUGGUGUUUUUGAUUGAAGACUGAUUCACAUUGAUGGCGGGCCAACCUAUUCGGACACUAGAAAAGGAAACUGGAAAUUCACCCUACUGAACCAGGAGAGUACUUUAAUACUUUUUAUUUUUCCAGCUCAAGGUAAAAGACUGUUUUUUUCCGUUUCUGGAUAGAGACUGUUCGUGUUUUUCCCUGAGAACUGAUUAAGAAAAAAGACUAAUACCAGCGCACGGACACUUGAAAAUCAAACUAUUUUCCUUUUGAAGUGAAAUGAGAAAUACUGAGUUUGUUGAUUCUGAACAAGUGGUUUUCUUUACAUUUUCAAUGUAAUUUCAAUUGAACUUUAUUUUGUUUUAUUGUGUUUUAAUUGUUUUAUUGUAUUUUGUUAAUUUUAUUUUGGGGAAAGAUCUGCAGAAAAAUAUAUCUAUAAACAUUUCAAAUACUUACCUAUAUAGUGGUUUCUGUCAUUUUUCAGCAAAUGCUCAUUACCUCCAGUAGACGAAUCCUAGGCUUCUGAUGUCCAGAUUGAUUUGAUAGUGUAACCUGUUACAAUUACAUUUCAAUAGUAAAAAAUCCUGAAUGGUUGAAAGUGGAGAGAGGUGUCUGGAUGCAGACCUAGUGCAGUGCAAUCUGAGCUGCAUCCAAUGCUUUUUAAUGCGCUCACCAAACCCCAUCCCUAACCCUACCCCUCACCGUGAUGUCACUCACUCCAUUGAGUUCAUUGUGUCUGGCUUUGCAUCGCUGAGUGAUGCAAUCUCAGCUUGCAUCAUAAAGGCUGCAUCCAGAUACUAUUGAAAGUGGAAAACUAAAAAAGUAUUUUUUGUUUGUUUUGUCACAAAUAUUUGUAAAAAGUCAGCAUAAAGUAGUCUUUGUUUAUCAGGAAUACAUCUUUUAUAUGACAAUAAGACCUAUAAUCCUUCUGGGCAGCAGUACAGUAAAUGUACAUUGUACAGCUAAUCAAUUUUUCUGUAUAGGUUAUGUAUGAAGUUAUGAUAGCAGAAGUGUAACUUUCAGUAGCAUAAAACAAUCCAGGAACUCUGAAAAUAUAAAACUGAAAGAAAAAAGACAUUCAAAGAUUACUUUUUAUUCAUACCACAUUUAACCCUUUGAUGCACACGCUAUGUAAAACCACUUCUAAUGCACAACAUGAGUCUAAAAUGACCCACAUUUCUUAUGUAAGUUCAUGCUUGGCUGGGAUUUGUUUAGUUUCAUCUUUUGAAAUCAGUUUAUCUCAGUAUAAAGCUUUCCUUUAUAGAAACACUCCCCAAUAUACCAACAAAACAUGCAAAUAAAUAAGGAUUUGUGAAAAACAAGUUAUUGAGAAAUUCUUGAAAUACCAAGUGAAGAAAUUGAUUUAUUUCAAAGAUAGAGAAAGUCAGAAAUCAGUCGGGGCACUUUAGACACAUAUGUCCAUCAAAGGGUUAAUUGGUGCAUUUGCUGUGUGAAGGCUUUGCUGCUACUAUUUUAUUGUCCUCUCAGAAGUGUCAGGUAAAAUCAACUGAUCACAAGGCCCAUAGACAUAUGCACAAUUCCACAUCAGUAAUAUGAACAGAACUGUUUAGUAAAUGUCAAGCUGUUUUUAUCCUAUAGUAGAUUGGAAUAACUGUAUACUGUUUCCAAAUUGCUUUACAAAUAAAAGUUGGUGGAAAAUGAUUGUUAAUGUUGUGCUUUUGUAUUUAUUUAUUUUUUUCAGUGUUAUAGUAUUGUGUAUGCAGAGCUCCACGAAGCACAGAAAGAAACCCUCUGCUUGACAAAAAAAGGUUGUUACCUGAGGUGUUCAGGUGCUGGAAGGUGGUGGUGAUGAAGUGAAAGUCCUCAGAGUAUGGAGCUGCUUGGUGCUGCUGGGUUUGUUGAACUUCAGAUUCACCCCUCUCAUUUUGAGAACCUGUACCCCUUGUAACCAUUCCUGACUGGUUCCUCUUAUGGAAGAAAAAGCAUUUCUUAAGAAUGAUGAUUGCAUUGUAUUAUGUUGCCACCAGAUUUAAGUUCUACAGGUGAGAUAGCAGUGUAAAUAUAAAUAAUAAUAAUUCAGUGUCAAGAACAGGAGAAGGCAGUCAAAUGCUGUUUACAAGUUGUAGCAUGUUACAAACAUGUUAUAAAACAUUUGAUAUAUUUUAUAUAGAUAAGCAUAUAUGGUAUUGAAAAGUCUGUAAGUUUAUUUUUGUUUCAAGAUCUGUCUUAAUGAGAAAUACUAAAGAAAAACAUUUUUUUAAUUAUAUUAAAAAUUAAUAUAAUUAAUUAUUAAUAUAAUUACUUUUAAUUAUUAUAUAAAAAAAUUUCUGUUAUACCGAUCCUAAGGUAUGCGUUUGAUUUUUUAUUUACUUUAUUUGUUUGUUUGUUUGUUUUUUAGGACAACAGUAUCUCCAGCAGGAAAAAAAAUGCCCAAAAGUUUCAUUUUAAAUUGUAAAGAAAUCUGUGUUUUUGAAACUAAUGAAGACAGCAGAAGUCUAUGAUUCAUUUGUAUUAUUUAGCCUGACAUAUUUACUACUCCAAAAUAAUUUAAUCUUUCAAAAAAAAAAAAAAUAUUGUCUUCAGAGGGAAAUUAUUUUGUUGUUUUUUACCCAGACAUUAUUUUAGAGUAGUAAUCACAAUAUAGUGAAACCGUGAUAUUUUUAUCCAAGGUUAUCAUACCAUUAUAAUCUUAUACUGAACCAUGCCUAUUUGAAAUCACUGGAAGGAGAGUACUGUAAAUAGUGAGUACAGUUUAAUUUUUUUGUGAACUGUCCCUAUAAGUGAGAAACAUAAACACUCAUUUCUUAGAAGCUCGGGUAGGGUGACAUUUAAAAAAGGAAGUAAAUACUUUCUCUUUAAAUGUUAACAAAAGAGUUUACAUACAACGCUUUUAGAGAUUAUAGGACAACUGGAGACAUCAAUGUUUUUUUUCUACAAACACCAAGUCUAUAGACUCUCUUACCGGCUUGUUUGAUAUUUAGACAAAAAAGUAAAUCAUAAACCACACACACACAAACCAUGUCCAUAAAAUGUUUAUAAUAAAUGACAUCAAUCAGAUUCAAGUCUGAAUUACAAUCGCACACCUUUUAAAAAUAACAAACUAUCUAAAUAAAUUAAAUAUUAUAUAUUUUGUGCGCCUUUACUUAACGAAAAUUUUAUGUUCAUAACUUAUGUUCAAAACCAUGCACAUGCUGCUCCUUCAGAUUAACCACAAACCAAUACAUUUUCCAACUAAAUAAACUAAACUCAAAAAACUAUAUUGCUUGUUCAGACUACUUAUUAAAAAUGAGCUGAAA
RNAcentral lists this long non-coding RNA (3889 nucleotides) under Danio rerio (zebrafish). RNAcentral's name for it is "lncRNA (ENSDARG00000096988.2)". Lineage: Eukaryota; Metazoa; Chordata; Actinopteri; Cypriniformes; Danionidae. The record is from RNAcentral.